UCCCCCGUGAGGGGGCAGUCUCGCCUGACAUGUAUAACAGGCAACGAGGGUUGCGUUCGUUACCCCACUGAAGGGAACAACUCAAGCCACGAACUGACGACGACCAUGCAUCACCUGCACAGCUGUCUUGCGAGGGCCAAAGUUUCCUAAGGCUUUCAGCUGUGUUUCAAACCCUGGUGAGGUUCUUCGUUUGUCAUCGAAUUGAGCCGCAUGAUCCACCGCUUGUGCAAGUCCCCGUCUAUUCCUUUGAGUUUUAAUCUUGCGAUCGUACUACCCAGGCGCACAACUUAACGCGUUAGCUUCGCCACAAAGAGGGUCGAUACUCCUUAUAGCCAGUUGUGAUCGUUUAGGGCGUGGACUA
Molecule: unclassified non-coding RNA, 361 nt
Filed under: uncultured bacterium
Lineage: Bacteria
Description: contains 16S-23S intergenic spacer region
Source: RNAcentral